Ochotona princeps (American pika) is the source of this 107-nucleotide small nuclear RNA. The record is from Ensembl. NCBI's taxonomy places the organism in Eukaryota, Metazoa, Chordata, Mammalia, Lagomorpha, Ochotonidae.
GUGCUCACUUCGGCAGCACAGUUGCUAAAAUUGGAGCGAUACAGAGAUGAUUGGCAUGGCUCAUGUGCAAAGAUGACAUGUAAAUUUGUGAAGUGUUCCAUAUUUUU